Molecule: ribosomal RNA, 252 nt
Filed under: uncultured bacterium
Lineage: Bacteria
Description: partial 16S ribosomal RNA
Rfam family: Bacterial small subunit ribosomal RNA
Source: RNAcentral
UACAGGGGGGGCAAGCGUCGUUCGGAAUUACUGGGCGUAAAGGGUUCGUAGGUGGCCAACUAAGUCAGAUGUGAAAUCCCUCAGCUUAACUGGGGACUGCUUCUGAUACUGGUCGGCUUGAGUGCAGGAGAGGAAUGCGGAAUUCCAGGUGUAGCGGUGAAAUGCGUAGAUAUCUGGAGGAACACCGGUGGCGAAGGCGGCAUUCUGGACUGUAACUGACACUGAGGAACGAAAGCCAGGGGAGCAAACAGG